GUGUGUUUUCCUUUCUUUUCUCGGACUCCAGGCUCAUGACUGCUUAUUUGCAUGGUGUUUUGGUGUCAAAGGAGUGUUGAAUGUCUUCUCCACAUACCCAGCUUUAUUCCACUCUAGGAGUUUAACUUCUUCAACAUUGUUAUGAGGUCCCCGGUGACCUCAGUUUCUCCUCUCCGCGUCAUCCAGGACUUCAUCUGAAGCUUGAGCUACAUGUAAGACUUCAUCUACCUUGCACAGGGCAAUGGAGAGAGGAUGGCAUACCAGAAUCAGCAGAUGACAGACAUCGGGGUGCUGUCGGACCCGGGAAUCAGAACCUCUGCAGAUAGAUAUUUUGGAAGGCACUCCCUAGAUUGGCACCUCUGGUUAGAACCCUGCCCAGGGACUGGACAAGUUGAGCCCAUGGCUCAUAUCUGGCCAGUGUUCAUUGCUUUGUUGAAUCACACUUAAUCCUUUGGUUUUGGUAGAUUCCUGCAAGUAGACUGACAGCCGCAUGUUUGCAGGAAAGUUAAAUAUUUUGACAGCGCAGAAGACUGCUGCAUCUGGAGGGUUCUGGGUCCAGCUAUAACCAGACUUGCCUGUCCUAAACAAAUGGAUUGACUGCUUCCGGCAUCCUCACUUUACUUCUGCACGGUGACCAACAUCCGGAGCUUAAUUACCUGACAGCCGGGAGGUAGGGGGCAAAGGAAACCUUUUAAUUUAUAGUAAGAAGUGAUCAGUUCCUUUUUUGGGUCUUAGUUAGAAUCCAGGUGCACUUGAAACAAUAAAACCUUGUAUAUAGUUUUCUCCUAUAAGAAACUUCUCAGAUAUUUACCAAAAUCCUGGAAAAAUAUAUAUUGGUCAAUAUACCACAAUUCCCACAAGAGGUAAAUAUUUACAAAAUCUACUUUGGGCAGUGAUGCUGCAAGAAUAUUAAAAGGCGUUGACUUUAUCGUCAAGUGAAUUAUUUCUUAAUUUUUUAAAAUUUAAAUCACAGUAUACUUGACAAGCUACAGCAGUAGGAAAACACCUUUGCUUUAAACAAAACUACCUUUUCUCAGCAAGAACAGUUACUAGAGUGGGAAAUAAGGUUAAUUUCAGUUUUAUUAAUAAUAUCUGAAAUGAAAUAAUGUUACAACUCGCCCCUCUAACCUCGUUGCUAGACA
RNAcentral lists this long non-coding RNA (1142 nucleotides) under Pan troglodytes (chimpanzee). RNAcentral's name for it is "long non-coding RNA NONPTRT015524". Lineage: Eukaryota; Metazoa; Chordata; Mammalia; Primates; Hominidae. The record is from RNAcentral.